RNAcentral lists this ribosomal RNA (543 nucleotides) under Kuhlia rupestris (rock flagtail). RNAcentral's name for it is "partial 16S large subunit ribosomal RNA". It matches the Rfam family "Bacterial large subunit ribosomal RNA", at positions 252 to 1050 of the family's 2925-position model. Lineage: Eukaryota; Metazoa; Chordata; Actinopteri; Centrarchiformes; Kuhliidae. The record is from RNAcentral.
UGCUAAACAGCUAGCCCCACCCACUAAAAACAACCUACCAAUGUAAAUAACCCCAAAUACACUAACAUUUACUAUUAAACAAACCAUUUUUCCCCCCUAGUAUAGGUGAUAGAAAAGGAUCUGUGGAGCAAUAGAGAAAGUACCGCAAGGGAAAGCUGAAAGAGAAAUGAAACAACCCACUACAAGCAUAAAAAAGCAGAGAUUUAAACUCGUACCUUUUGCAUCAUGAUUUAGCCAGAACCCCCCAAGCAGAGAGACCUUUAGUUUGAUCCCCCGAAACUAGGUGAGCUACUCCAAGACAGCCUAUAGUAGGGCAAACCCGUCCCUGUGGCAAAAGGGUGGGAAGAGCUUUGAGUAGGGGUGACAGACCUAUCGAACCUAGUUAUAGCUGGUUACCUGGGAAUUGAAUAGAAGUUCAGCCUCUCGGUUUCUCCUACCCCCGCCUAAUCUUAUUUGACACUCAGAGAAACCAAGAGAGUUAAUCAAAGGGGGUACAGCUCCUUUGAUAUAAGACACAACUUUACCAGGAGGGUAAAGAUCAUA